GAUGAACGCUGGCGGCGUGCCUAAUACAUGCAAGUCGAGCGAACAGACGAUGAGCUUGCUCCUCUGACGUUAGCGGCGGACGGGUGAGUAACACGUGGAUAACCUACCUAUAAGACUGGGAUAACUUCGGGAAACCGGAGCUAAUACCGGAUAAUAUAUUGAACCGCAUGGUUCAAUAGUGAAAGACGGUUUUGCUGUCACUUAUAGAUGGAUCCGCGCCGGAUUAGCUAGUUGGUAAGGUAACGGCCUACCAAGGCGACGAUGCGUAGCCGACCUGAGAGGGUGAUCGGCCACACUGGAACUGAGACACGGUCCAGACUCCUACGGGAGGCAGCAGUGGGGAAUAUUGCGCAAUGGGCGAAAGCCUGACCGAGCCAUGCCGCGUGGGUGAAGAAGGUCUUCGGGUUGUAAAACCCUGUUAUUGGGGAAGAAAAAAAGGAGGAGAAAACACCGCUGUUCUGACGGUACCCAAUCAGAAAGCAACGGCUAACUACGUG
RNAcentral lists this ribosomal RNA (497 nucleotides) under uncultured bacterium. Its description in RNAcentral is "partial 16S ribosomal RNA". It matches the Rfam family "Bacterial small subunit ribosomal RNA", at positions 28 to 507 of the family's 1533-position model. The record is from RNAcentral.